CAAAAGGUUUGGUCCUGGCCUUAAUAUUAAUUAUAACUAUAAUUAUACAUGCAAGUUUCAGCAUCCCCGUGAGAAUGCCCUUAUUAAUCUAUUAAUUAAUAAGGAGCUGGUAUUAGGCACACAAAAUGUAGCCCAAGACACCUUGCUAAGCCACACCCCCAAGGGAUUUCAGCAGUAAUAAACAUUGAUUCCAUAAUCGCAAGCUUGAAUCAGUUAAAGUAAAAUAGGAUUGGUAAAUCUCGUGCCAGCCACCGCGGUUAUACGAGUAACCCAAAUUAAUAUCCCCGGCGUAAAGGGUGGUUUAAAAAAAUCUUGAACAAUUAAAGUUAAGAUAUCAUCAAACUGUUAUACGUAUUUAUGAAUGAAAUAAUCAAUUACGAAAGUAACUUUAUAAAAUAAUAGAACUCUUGACACCACGACAGGUAAGCCCCAAACUGGGAUUAGAUACCCCACUAUGCCUACCCAUAAAAUUAGAUAAUAAUUUACCUUAUUAUUCGCCAGAAUACUACAAGCGCUAGCUUAAAAUCCAAAGGACUUGGCGGUGCUUCAAACCCACCUAGAGGAGCCUGUUCUAUAACCGAUAAUCCCCGUUAAACCCCACCACCCCUUGCCAUUACCGCCUAUAUACCACCGUCGUCAGCUCACCCUAUGAAGGUUAUAAAAGUAAGCAAAAAGAAUUAAACUCCCAUACGUCAGGUCGAGGUGUAGCGAAUGGGGUGGAAAGAAAUGGGCUACAUUUUCUAUUAAGAAAAUACGGACAGUAAACUGAAAAAUUACUCCAAGGUGGAUUUAGCAGUAAGAAGAAAUAAGAAUAUUUUACUGAAGUUGGCUCUGAAGCGCGCACACACCGCCCGUCACUCUCCUCGCCAUAAACACUACCAUUAUAUAAAAAAAUUUUAUUAAAAGAGGAGGCAAGUCGUAACAUGGUAAGUGUACUGGAAAGUGCACUUGGAAU
This 955-nucleotide non-coding RNA is filed under the name Heptranchias perlo (sharpnose sevengill shark). Its description in RNAcentral is "12S ribosomal RNA". It matches the Rfam family "Bacterial small subunit ribosomal RNA". Lineage: Eukaryota; Metazoa; Chordata; Chondrichthyes; Hexanchiformes; Hexanchidae. The record is from RNAcentral.